AGAAGAACCGUUCCCUGAGCCAUAGGCAACAACCUUGGUAAUCGGAGUUCUUAAAAAAAAUUAGAAAUUCCGUGAUGGGAAAACCACUCCUGACCUGCGUCACAAAAUUGGAUUUUCUGACGGUUAUAUACAAUUCUUAAAACAGAUCAAUACUAUACCGUUAAGAUAUUCUUUGAGAAAGCAGGACAUAAAACAGUGCGUCAAAGCUAUGAAAACAGUGUUAGAAAGUUCUUCUUCUGUUC
This 242-nucleotide long non-coding RNA is filed under the name Mytilus galloprovincialis (Mediterranean mussel). The record is from RNAcentral. Lineage: Eukaryota; Metazoa; Mollusca; Bivalvia; Mytilida; Mytilidae.